UCCUGACUGACCGAUAGUGAACCAGUACCGUGAGGGAAAGGCGAAAAGAACCCCGGCGAGGGGAGUGAAAAAGAACCUGAAACCGUGUACGUACAAGCAGUGGGAGCACGCUUAGGCGUGUGACUGCGUACCUUUUGUAUAAUGGGUCAGCGACUUAUAUUCUGUAGCAAGGUUAACCGAAUAGGGGAGCCGAAGGGAAACCGAGUCUUAACUGGGCGUUAAGUUGCAGGGUAUAGACCCGAAACCCGGUGAUCUAGCCAUGGGCAGGUUGAAGGUUGGGUAACACUAACUGGAGGACCGAACCGACUAAUGUUGAAAAAUUAGCGGAUGACUUGUGGCUGGGGGUGAAAGGCCAAUCAAACCGGGAGAUAGCUGGUUCUCCCCGAAAGCUAUUUAGGUAGCGCCUCGUGAAUUCAUCUCCGGGGGUAGAGCACUGUUUCGGCAAGGGGGUCAUCCCGACUUACCAACCCGAUGCAAACUGCGAAUACCGGAGAAUGUUAUCACGGGAGACACACGGCGGGUGCUAACGUCCGUCGUGAAGAGGGAAACAACCCAGACCGCCAGCUAAGGUCCCAAAGUCAUGGUUAAGUGGGAAACGAUGUGGGAAGGCCCAGACAGCCAGGAUGUUGGCUUAGAAGCAGCCAUCAUUUAAAGAAAGCGUAAUAGCUCACUGGUCGAGUCGGCCUGCGCGGAAGAUGUAACGGGGCUAAACCAUGCACCGAAGCUGCGGCAGCGACGCUUAUGCGUUGUUGGGUAGGGGAGCGUUCUGUAAGCCUGCGAAGGUGUGCUGUGAGGCAUGCUGGAGGUAUCAGAAGUGCGAAUGCUGACAUAAGUAACGAUAAAGCGGGUGAAAAGCCCGCUCGCCGGAAGACCAAGGGUUCCUGUCCAACGUUAAUCGGGGCAGGGUGAGUCGACCCCUAAGGCGAGGCCGAAAGGCGUAGUCGAUGGGAAACAGGUUAAUAUUCCUGUACUUGGUGUUACUGCGAAGGGGGGACGGAGAAGGCUAUGUUGGCCGGGCGACGGUUGUCCCGGUUUAAGCGUGUAGGCUGGUUUUCCAGGCAAAUCCGGAAAAUCAAGGCUGAGGCGUGAUGACGAGGCACUACGGUGCUGAAGCAACAAAUGCCCUGCUUCCAGGAAAAGCCUCUAAGCAUCAGGUAACAUCAAAUCGUACCCCAAACCGACACAGGUGGUCAGGUAGAGAAUACCAAGGCGCUUGAGAGAACUCGGGUGAAGGAACUAGGCAAAAUGGUGCCGUAACUUCGGGAGAAGGCACGCUGAUAUGUAGGUGAAGUCCCUUGCGGAUGGAGCUGAAAUCAGUCGAAGAUACCAGCUGGCUGCAACUGUUUAUUAAAAACACAGCACUGUGCAAACACGAAAGUGGACGUAUACGGUGUGACGCCUGCCCGGUGCCGGAAGGUUAAUUGAUGGGGUCAGCGCAAGCGAAGCUCUUGAUCGAAGCCCCGGUAAACGGCGGCCGUAACUAUAACGGUCCUAAGGUAGCGAAAUUCCUUGUCGGGUAAGUUCCGACCUGCACGAAUGGCGUAAUGAUGGCCAGGCUGUCUCCACCCGAGACUCAGUGAAAUUGAACUCGCUGUGAAGAUGCAGUGUACCCGCGGCAAGACGGAAAGACCCCGUGAACCUUUACUAUAGCUUGACACUGAACAUUGAGCCUUGAUGUGUAGGAUAGGUGGGAGGCUUUGAAGUGUGGACGCCAGUCUGCAUGGAGCCGGCCUUGAAAUACCACCCUUUAAUGUUUGAUGUUCUAACGUGGACCCGUGAUCCGGGUUGCGGACAGUGUCUGGUGGGUAGUUUGACUGGGGCGGUCUCCUCCUAAAGAGUAACGGAGGAGCACGAAGGUUGGCUAAUCCUGGUCGGACAUCAGGAGGUUAGUGCAAUGGCAUAAGCCAGCUUGACUGCGAGCGUGACGGCGCGAGCAGGUGCGAAAGCAGGUCAUAGUGAUCCGGUGGUUCUGAAUGGAAGGGCCAUCGCUCAACGGAUAAAAGGUACUCCGGGGAUAACAGGCUGAUACCGCCCAAGAGUUCAUAUCGACGGCGGUGUUUGGCACCUCGAUGUCGGCUCAUCACAUCCUGGGGCUGAAGUAGGUCCCAAGGGUAUGGCUGUUCGCCAUUUAAAGUGGUACGCGAGCUGGGUUUAGAACGUCGUGAGACAGUUCGGUCCCUAUCUGCCGUGGGCGCUGGAGAACUGAGGGGGGCUGCUCCUAGUACG
RNAcentral lists this ribosomal RNA (2226 nucleotides) under Shigella sonnei. RNAcentral describes it as "partial 23S ribosomal RNA". It matches the Rfam family "Bacterial large subunit ribosomal RNA", at positions 474 to 2685 of the family's 2925-position model. The record is from RNAcentral. Lineage: Bacteria; Pseudomonadati; Pseudomonadota; Gammaproteobacteria; Enterobacterales; Enterobacteriaceae.